CCCGGCUCCUGUCCCGGGCCCUCCCCCUGGCCGGCAGAGGGAAGGAGCUUUCUACUUCCCCUGCAUGACCAGGGACAGGGGAACUGAGCAGGAGCGGGGAGAGGAGGAGGGAGCCCACAGAUGAGGAGCUGGAAGGGCCAGGGCCGGGAGCGGCCUGGUGUCACCCUGUUACAUGCUCGCACCACGCCCUUGCGGCAGCGGGAUAGCCUCCAUGCUGUAAAUGAGGAAACUGAGGCCCAGAGAAGCGGUCACUGUCCAGACGGGAUUUGAACCCAGAUCGGCCUUCAUCUAAAGCUCUUUUCCUCACCCUCAGUGUCUGCAGGGUCAACAGGAAUCACAACACAGAGCGCUAGCUCCCCGACUCCACAGGGUUCAAGUGUGAGCGAGAGGCACUGAAAGCGUGGAGGGUACAGGAAGAGUGAGACGGGGACGCUGUUGCUAGGGACCCAGCUCCCCGCUCCUGGAGGGACGGUAAGUCGAGGGAGCAGGCCAGCAGUCCAGGGAGCCGGGGGCAGCUCCGGGACUGGCCGUCCCUCACCUGAGAGGCGGCAGGCACAGCCCCUGUGGCUGCCAGCCGCCCCAUUCCAGACGAGAUCCAGUGAUCCCCCGUCCGCCCCCGAGGCCUCUGCCGAGGUUGGCAAACUGGUGCUGGCACCGGAAAGCGACAUUCCAGAGGCCCCCCACAAGUCCCUGCCAACCCCGGAUUCUUGGCAGAGCAGGAGAGCAGGGGCUUCUGGGAGACACAGGGCAGAGGCAUGGGGGAGAGGGUUGCGGUUUGGGAGGGGGCGAGGGGCCGACGAGCUGGAACACCUGUCUUCAGAAUGGGGGAGGAGCCAGGCUCCAGACGUGGCAGACCCCCACUCAUCCCGCAAGGAUUGUGCAUGUCUGGCCUGCUCACCCUGACCCCAACAGGAGCCUGGGCAGGGCCCACAGCGCAGCCUGCAGAUUGAGGGGACUGGGCUGAGGGCAGUGUCUCAGACACGGUGUUCUUGAAAAGACACUUUUCAGGUGGCAAAGUUCCUUUCACUACACACUAUAAAAGACUUUCCAGGCAGAGCUCCGACGUGCUGUAUGACUUUGGACAAGACACAUACCCUCUCUGGGCCUCAGAGAUGCAUGAGAGACCAAAGCAGGUAAAUCUUGAAGGUGUCCUCUAGCAAACAGUGUUUAUGAUCCUGAGGUGUCAUGACUUCAGACUCCUCCCUGCUCUCUGGCUGCCCCAUGUCUACAACGCAGCCAAGAGAUCCUUUUAAAUCUGCAAGUGGGGUCACGGCUCCUCUGCUCAUCCCCCGGGGGGAGGGGAAUGCCUGGCAGGGGGCAUGCCACCCCAGCUUCUGCCCUAUCUCGCCCCUGCCGCCUCCUGAGCCCUGCCUUCUCCCUCCCAGGAGUGGUCUCCUGACCUCCUGACUGCCCCAAACCAGACCUGUUUCUUCUCCCCGGGCAUCUGCUCCUGCCCCAACUCUGGCCCGAAGGGCUUGCCCCACCCAGAUCUUCGGAUAGUUCUUUCUGGUCAUCCAAGAGUCAGCUCAAACGUCACCUCUCAGAAAGGCCUUCCCUGACCCUUUCUCCAGAAGCCAGGGCCCUCCGCCCCACCUAGGUUUCAAGAUCACAUCUCUGAUUUAUUUUCUUCACAUGUCACAACCAAAACGAUGAUCUUGGUCCUUUCGUGUUGACUUGCUGACUGUCCUUCUUCCUCGAGACUGUCCACGCCGGGAGGGCAGGGUCAUGCUCUCCCCCGGGCUGGACCCAGGCACAGGGAGAGGACCAGAGAUGCUCAGAGCGAGGCUCCUGCUCUGCUUCCUCUGCCCAGCUCAGGGAGGGCCUUGGGAAUGAAGCCCCCGCCCCCACCCCGCCCCAUGUUCCAGUGCCCGGAACAGCGCCUGGCCAGCAGCGAACACCGG
RNAcentral lists this long non-coding RNA (1901 nucleotides) under Equus asinus (donkey). RNAcentral describes it as "lncRNA (ENSEASG00005031976.1, ENSEASG00020005560.1)". Lineage: Eukaryota; Metazoa; Chordata; Mammalia; Perissodactyla; Equidae. The record is from RNAcentral.